Triplophysa dalaica is the source of this 486-nucleotide long non-coding RNA. RefSeq lists it as uncharacterized. The transcript is spliced from 3 exons. Lineage: Eukaryota; Metazoa; Chordata; Actinopteri; Cypriniformes; Nemacheilidae. The record is from RefSeq and is a predicted model, not a curated record.
UUAACUAGUUUUUUUUCUUGUAAUUUGAUACAAAGGCAGUAUAAUACCAAAUAUAAUCUUAUAAAUGUACAUUAAUUUAAAAAAUAUAAAUACAUAUGAAAAACUUUCAAGGAUUAACGAUGCUGAUGACCGUGAUAGUAUGGGCGUGGUUUAAGAGAGCACACCACGUGCGUUUUCAAACAGCGUGACUAACGGACGGACGACUUCAGAGCUACUUCGACUUCCAGUGGCAAUUUUACAAAAUAUAUCCCUCAUGGAGUCUGACCGGGACUGGUAUCUCCCGACAUUAUCUGAAGCUUAGGUCCACUAAGAUGUCCCGUUGAUUGAAGCUGACAUGGAGUCACAGUGACAUCCUUAAAAACUUUUGUCAUGUAUAAUACAUCUCUGCAUCUUAAAAUAUUUCUCUGCAUCUUUAAAUAUUUUUUUUUUUUAUUUUUUGUCUAUGUUUUAGAUUUAAGUGUUUAAGCUGUUUUCAUGAAAAAAUAU